AAGUCGUAACAAGGUUUCCGUAGGUGAACCUGCGGAAGGAUCAUUACAGAGUAUUGCCCUUCGGGGUAGAUCUCCCACCCUUUGUUUAUUUAAACCUGUUGCUUUGGCGGGCCGUUCGGCCUCGUGCCGCCCACCGGCUUCGGCUGGUGUGUGCCCGUCGGAAGACACCUUAAACUCUGAAUAUAAUGUUGUCUGAGUACCAUAUAAUCGUUAAAACUUUCAACAACGGAUCUCUUGGUUCUG
RNAcentral lists this unclassified non-coding RNA (243 nucleotides) under air metagenome. RNAcentral describes it as "partial contains small subunit ribosomal RNA, internal transcribed spacer 1, and 5.8S ribosomal RNA". The stretch from base 1 to 46 matches the Rfam family "Eukaryotic small subunit ribosomal RNA", at positions 1786 to 1831 of the family's 1831-position model. The record is from RNAcentral.